This 253-nucleotide ribosomal RNA is filed under the name uncultured bacterium. RNAcentral's name for it is "partial 16S ribosomal RNA". It matches the Rfam family "Bacterial small subunit ribosomal RNA", at positions 524 to 776 of the family's 1533-position model. The record is from RNAcentral.
AACGUAGGACGCAAGCGUUAUCCGGAGUUACUGGGCGUAAAGCGUGCGCAGGCGGCUUUGCAAGACAGAUGUGAAAUCCCCGGGCUUAACCUGGGAACUGCAUUUGUGACUGCAUGGCUGGAGUGCGGCAGAGGGGGAUGGAAUUCCGCGUGUAGCAGUGAAAUGCGUAGAUAUGCGGAGGAACACCGAUGGCGAAGGCAAUCCCCUGGGCCUGCACUGACGCUCAUGCACGAAAGCGUGGGGAGCAAACGGG